RNAcentral lists this ribosomal RNA (250 nucleotides) under uncultured archaeon. RNAcentral describes it as "partial 16S ribosomal RNA". It matches the Rfam family "Archaeal small subunit ribosomal RNA", at positions 734 to 982 of the family's 1478-position model. The record is from RNAcentral.
UACCCGUGUAGUCCUAGCCGUAAACGAUACUCGCUAGGUGUCGGCCACGGUGCGACCGUUGUCGGUGCCGUAGGGAAGCCGUGAAGCGAGCCACCUGGGAAGUACGGCCGCAAGGCUAGAAACUUAAAGGAAUUGGCGGGGGAGCACAACAACGGGUGGAGCUUGCGGUUUAAUUGGAUUCAACGCCGGAAAUCUUACCGGGACCGACAGCAACAUGAAGGCCAAGCUGAAGACUUUGCCGGAUUAGCUG